Molecule: ribosomal RNA, 257 nt
Filed under: uncultured bacterium
Lineage: Bacteria
Description: partial 16S ribosomal RNA
Rfam family: Bacterial small subunit ribosomal RNA
Source: RNAcentral
UACGUAGGGUGCAAGCGUUGUCCGGAAUUAUUGGGCGUAAAGAGCUCGUAGGCGGUUUGUUGCGUCGGCUGUGAAAUCCCGAGGCUCAACCUCGGGUCUGCAGUCGAUACGAGCAAACUAGAGUGUUGCAGGGGAGACUGGAAUUCCUGGUGUAGCGGUGGAAUGCGCAGAUAUCAGGAGGAACACCCGGUGGCGAAGGCGGGUCUCUGGGCGAGUGAACUGACGCUGGAGGAGCGAAAGCGUGGGGAGCGAACAGG